AGAGUUUGAUCCUGGCUCAGAACGAACGCUGGCGGCAUGGUUAAGGCAUGCAAGUCGAACGCGAAAGUUUUUUUCGAAAGACGAGUAGAGUGGCGUAAGGGCGAGUAAUGCAUGGGUAACGUACCCCAAGCACGAGGAUAGCUUCGAGAAAUCGGAGGUAAUACUCGAUGAGACCACGGUGUCAUAAGGCACAGCGGUCAAAGGGCGGGGAUCCCUUCGGGGACCUGUCGGCUCGGGAGCGGCCCAUGUCCUAUCAGCUUGUUGGUGAGGUAACGGCUCACCAAAGCUUCGACGGGUAGCGGGACUGAGAGGUUGGCCCGCCGCAUUGGGACUGAGACACUGCCCAGACUCCUACGGGAGGCUGCAGCACCGAAUAUUGUGCAAUGGGCGCAAGCCUGACACAGCAAUGCCGCGUGCGGGAGGAAGUCCUUCGGGAUGUAAACCGCUGUCAGGGGCUACCAAGCAAUGGGGUUUAAUAGACCCUUGCGUUGAGGAGCCCCAGAGGAAGCCACGGCUAACUUCGUGCCAGCAGCCGCGGUAAUACGAAGGUGGCGAGCGUUGUUCGGAAUCACUGGGCUUAAAGAGCACGUA
This 591-nucleotide ribosomal RNA is filed under the name uncultured bacterium. RNAcentral describes it as "bacterial SSU rRNA". It matches the Rfam family "Bacterial small subunit ribosomal RNA", at positions 8 to 573 of the family's 1533-position model. The record is from RNAcentral.